CGAACCUUCGGGUUAGUGGCGAACGGGUGAGUAACACGUGGGCAACCUGCCUCGAGCUCUGGGAUAACACCGGGAAACCGGUGCUAAUACCGGAUAUGAACAGAGAAGGCAUCUUUUCUGUUGGAAAGUUUUUCGGCUCGAGAUGGGCCCGCGGCCUAUCAGCUUGUUGGUGGGGUAACGGCCUACCAAGGCGACGACGGGUAACCGGCCUGAGAGGGCGACCGGUCACACUGGGACUGAGACACGGCCCAG
This 252-nucleotide ribosomal RNA is filed under the name uncultured bacterium. RNAcentral describes it as "partial 16S ribosomal RNA". It matches the Rfam family "Bacterial small subunit ribosomal RNA", at positions 76 to 334 of the family's 1533-position model. The record is from RNAcentral.